RNAcentral lists this ribosomal RNA (483 nucleotides) under uncultured bacterium. Its description in RNAcentral is "bacterial SSU rRNA". It matches the Rfam family "Bacterial small subunit ribosomal RNA", at positions 29 to 490 of the family's 1533-position model. The record is from RNAcentral.
AAUCAACGCUGGCGGCGUGCCUAACACAUGCAAGUCGAGCGCGAAAGGGGGGCAACUCCCAAGUAGAGCGGCGAACGGGUGAGUAACGCGUGGGUAAUCUACCUUCGAGUGGGGAACAACAGCGGGAAACUGCUGCUAAUACCGCAUGACAUCGCUGGGCUCUCGAGCCUGACGAUCAAAGCCGGGGACCGUAAGGCCUGGCGCUUGAAGAGGAGCCCGCGUCCGAUUAGCUAGUUGGCGGGGUAACGGCCCACCAAGGCUACGAUCGGUAGCCGGCCUGAGGAGGGCGGACGGCCACACUGGGACUGAGACACGGCCCAGACUCCUACGGGAGGCAGCAGUGGGGAAUUUUCGCAAUGGGGGAAACCCUGACGAAGCAACGCCGCGUGGGGAUGAAGGUCUUCGGAUUGUAAACCCCUGUCGACCGGGACGAAAGUAGUCCGACCCAAUACGUCGGGCUAUCGACUGUACCGGUGGAGGAAG